RNAcentral lists this ribosomal RNA (373 nucleotides) under uncultured bacterium. RNAcentral describes it as "bacterial SSU rRNA". It matches the Rfam family "Bacterial small subunit ribosomal RNA", at positions 28 to 400 of the family's 1533-position model. The record is from RNAcentral.
GAUGAACGCUAGCGGCAGGCUUAACACAUGCAAGUCGAGGGGUAGAGGAAGCUUGCUUCCUUGAGACCGGCGCACGGGUGCGUAACGCGUAUACAAUCUACCUUUUACAGAGGGAUAGCCCCAGAGAAAUUUGGAUUAAUACCUCAUAGUAUUUUCGGAUCGCAUGAUUUGAUUAUUAAAGUUCCAACGGUAAAGAUGAGUAUGCGUCCCAUUAGCUAGAUGGUAAGGUAACGGCUUACCAUGGCAAUGAUGGGUAGGGGUCCUGAGAGGGAGAUCCCCCCACACUGGUACUGAGACACGGACCAGACUCCUACGGGAGGCAGCAGUGAGGAAUAUUGGACAAUGGGCGCAAGCCUGAUCCAGCCAUGCCCGC